Drosophila innubila is the source of this 406-nucleotide long non-coding RNA. RefSeq lists it as uncharacterized. Lineage: Eukaryota; Metazoa; Arthropoda; Insecta; Diptera; Drosophilidae. The transcript is spliced from 3 exons. The record is from RefSeq and is a predicted model, not a curated record.
UAUUAAUAUUCUAUUCAGUUCAAUUAGUUAUACAAAUGGACUAUCGACGAAUUUUUGUCCUGACUGCACAAAAUGGAUUGAACCAAAGUGUCUAACAGAUAGAAAUGGCAUGUCUGUACCCUCAAAUGCAGAUCUUCCUAAGCUUCAAAAACUUGCGGUGGGCGAAGUUAUUGAUCCAAGCAUAGAGAAAUGCGUUGAUGAUACCUACAAAUUAACUGGUAAUUUAGAGAGAUACAUUUGUUUCAUUUCGGUGAAGCGUGGCUGUUUAGUAGUCGCUAAUAAGGAUUCAUUUGAUAUUCCCAAUGCACAGAGUUAUGUCUGUAGGACAUGUGGCUUGUAUUGCGGAUGCGAGACAAUUACCAGUGGAUCAGUGAAUUCGAAAUAUAUAUUAAACAAAUAUUCUCAA